This 642-nucleotide long non-coding RNA is filed under the name Equus caballus (horse). Its description in RNAcentral is "lncRNA (ENSECAG00000031630.3)". The record is from RNAcentral. Lineage: Eukaryota; Metazoa; Chordata; Mammalia; Perissodactyla; Equidae.
UCUCAAGUAAAGCAGAAAUAGUAGCCAAAUUGGCUGCACUAUGUGUAAAAGAUGCAUUAUCCAUGAUAGAAGCUACGGGAGGUCAGAAACUGAUUAUCAGUUAAAUGGAACAAAAAAAAAAGAGAGGUCCUGUAAGAUGUUCUCCAUUCCUCCUUUGCUUAUUACCAGGCGAUGACUAAUAAUCACUCUAUGAAAAGUACCAUGGGGAAUAAGUUAUGACUUGUUCACUCAACAAGAUGAAAGACCCUCCCUCCUGAAAAACAGGUAUCACAUAACCAGUUGUCUUUGUUGUAAAUAUGAGAACCAUUCCAAGAACUUUGCCUUUAACAAGAAAGCUGCCUAUGUUCCAGUUGUGGACAAAAAGAAAACAACAUCUUUACUUAAGAAAUUGGUGAAAGGAAACUUAAAGAUAUAUUCUGAAAAAAAGGCAGGAAAGUCCAGAUGGACUUACAUUUUCUAUGAUGAAAGUCAGAUGCUCUUCAUGAGGGAGCAAGAGUACCGCGAAAGUCAACUCAGGGCGCUCUGGUUUCUUCUGUAACUCUCACUACCUCACCCUCACCACCACUGUACUAUUUAGAAAUUUUGAAAGAAAUACCAGACAUUGUGUCAUCUCACCUCUGUGUGUGUGUGUGUGUCUGUAUA